RNAcentral lists this ribosomal RNA (467 nucleotides) under uncultured Veillonellaceae bacterium. Its description in RNAcentral is "bacterial SSU rRNA". It matches the Rfam family "Bacterial small subunit ribosomal RNA", at positions 336 to 795 of the family's 1533-position model. The record is from RNAcentral. Lineage: Bacteria; Bacillati; Bacillota; Negativicutes; Veillonellales; Veillonellaceae.
CUCCUACGGGUGGCUGCAGUGGGGAAUCUUCCGCAAUGGACGAAAGUCUGACGGAGCAACGCCGCGUGAGUGACGAAGGCCUUCGGGUUGUAAAGCUCUGUUAUCGGGGAAGAACACUUUUCGUGUGAACAAUGCGGGGAGUUGACGGUACCCGAGGAGGAAGCCACGGCUAACUACGUGCCAGCAGCCGCGGUAAUACGUAGGUGGCGAGCGUUGUCCGGAAUUAUUGGGCGUAAAGCGCGCGUAGGCGGGAUAUUAAGUCUCAUUUAAAAGUGCGGGGCUCAACCCCGUGAUGGGUGAGAAACUAAUAUUCUUGAGUGCCGGAGAGGAAAGCGGAAUUCCCAGUGUAGCGGUGAAAUGCGUAGAUAUUGGGAGGAACACCAGUGGCGAAGGCGGCUUUCUGGACGGUGUCUGACGCUGAGGCGCGAAAGCCAGGGGAGCGAACGGGAUUAGAUACCCCGGUAGUC